This 497-nucleotide ribosomal RNA is filed under the name uncultured bacterium. RNAcentral describes it as "partial 16S ribosomal RNA". It matches the Rfam family "Bacterial small subunit ribosomal RNA", at positions 28 to 507 of the family's 1533-position model. The record is from RNAcentral.
GAUGAACGCUGGCGGCGUGCCUAAUACAUGCAAGUCGAGCGAACGGACGAGAAGCUUGCUUCUCUGAUGUUAGCGGCGGACGGGUGAGUAACACGUGGAUAACCUACCUAUAAGACUGGGAUAACUUCGGGAAACCGGCGCUAAUCCCGGAUAAUAUUUUGAACCGCAUGGUUCAAAAGUGAAAGACGGUCUUGCUGUCACUUAUAGAUGGAUCCGCGCUGCAUUGGCUAGUUGGUAAGGUAACGGCUUACCAAGGCAACGAUGCAUAGCCGACCUGAGAGGGUGAUCGGCCACCCUGGAACUGAGACACGGUCCAGACUCCUACGGGAGGCCGCAGUAGGGAAUCGUCCGCAAAGGGCGAAAGCCUGACGGAGCAACGCCGCGUGAGUGAUGAAGGUCUUCGGAUCGUAAAGCUCUGUUAUUAGGGAAGAACAUAUGUGUAAGUAACUGUGCACAUCUUGACGGUACCUAACCAGAAAGCCACGGCUAACUACGUG